Salmo salar (Atlantic salmon) is the source of this 54-nucleotide non-coding RNA. The record is from Rfam. NCBI's taxonomy places the organism in Eukaryota, Metazoa, Chordata, Actinopteri, Salmoniformes, Salmonidae.
UGCAUUCACUACUGUGAGUCGCUCUGGAUAAGAGCAUCUGCUAAAUGACUAAAA